CGGUUCUAUGGGAUGUACUUCUUUUAUAUGGGAAUAAAGGGUGCCACGUGUGGCAUUUUGUAUGUACCAUAUGAAUAAGGAUCGGCUAACUCCGUGCCAGCAGCCGCGGUAAUACGGAGGAUCCGAGCGUUAUCCGGAUUUAUUGGGUUUAAAGGGAGCGUAGGUGGACAUGUAAGUCAGUUGUGAAGGUUUGCGGGCAA
This 200-nucleotide ribosomal RNA is filed under the name uncultured Bacteroides sp. RNAcentral describes it as "partial 16S ribosomal RNA". It matches the Rfam family "Bacterial small subunit ribosomal RNA", at positions 409 to 611 of the family's 1533-position model. The record is from RNAcentral. Lineage: Bacteria; Pseudomonadati; Bacteroidota; Bacteroidia; Bacteroidales; Bacteroidaceae.